GAUGAACGCUGGCGGCGUGCCUAAUACAUGCAAGUCGAGCGGCAGCACGGUCUUCGGACUGGUGGCGUGCGGCGGACGGCUGAGUAACGCGUAGGAACAUGCCCCAAAGUGAGGGAUAACUGCCCGAAAGGGUGGCUAAUACCGCAUGUGGGCUUAGGACUAAAGCUUUAUGCGCUUUGGGAGUGGCCUGCGUCUGAUUAGCUAGUUGGUGAGGUAAUGGCUCACCAAGGCGACGAUCGGUAGCUGGUCUGAGAGGAUGAUCAGCCAGACUGGAACUGAGAACGGUCCAGACUCCUACGGGAGGCAGCAGUAGGGAAUUUUCCACAAUGGGCGAAAGCCUGAUGGAGCAACGCCGCGUGCAGGAUGAAUGCCUUCGGGUUGUAAACUGCUUUUAUGUGCGAAGAAUUUGACUGUAACACAUGAAUAAGGAUCGGCUAACUACGUGCCAGCAGCCGCAGUAA
RNAcentral lists this ribosomal RNA (461 nucleotides) under uncultured bacterium. RNAcentral's name for it is "partial 16S ribosomal RNA". It matches the Rfam family "Bacterial small subunit ribosomal RNA", at positions 28 to 523 of the family's 1533-position model. The record is from RNAcentral.